UUUGCAUCGUCUGAUUAAAAAUGGCGGUUUACAAACAGACCAUGAAGGGUUAGGGUUAAGUUUACUAUGAAGACAAACGAACUAGACUUUAACAAUCCAUUCACUACAGGCAACUAGUUGGACUAACUAGUUCUCCAGGGUGGUUAGUUAUGUCAGGUGCUAUGGUUUUGUAAGACUGAAGAAAAGGUUGAGUGCAACGGAACGUGUCUAUCACCUGGAUUAUUACCACUUCCCCUUUAUCAAACAUGAGAUCGGCGUCAGCCAAAACCUUUACUUGCAGGAGGGGACCAGGGACCAAAUGAUCUGCCACACGUCACCACGUCAUGAGGGGGACAAAAGGACAAACGGACUGAAGAGUGAAGAAAAGUGCAAACACCCAGAGCACUUCACUGCCUGCUUAUGAGACAAAGUGCCAAGCGUGCAUGUCAUUGUUAUGUGCCAGAAAAAGAGAAACAAGGGAUGGGGAGAACAGGAAGCAGAACAACCGAGAAGAAAACAACUCUCUGUGUUGGAUGAGACUUCAGAGCUAUUCACCUGCUGGAGCGGCAACAGACAGAAAUCAUGAAGACGUUCUGAAUAAUUCACACACUGGCCGAUUGUUUAGUGUUUAUUAAUUCCCUUUUUACUCUUUGUUUGUGAGCAGACUUCAAAGCUCGGUUAGUUUGAGCAGAAACAUUGAAAAACUGAUACACUUGCACGAAUACUCUCACUUAGAUGAAUUAACCGCGAUCUCGGCCGAGUGCAAUUAUGCCGUCUGUUCUCUUUCUGUUGGCCUUGAGCCACAGCACAUGCAUUAACCAGUCACUGUGCCGCUCAACAUUACUAUCAUGUUUUUACAAAGUCUCAGGCUGCAGGUAGAAAUCAAUCAAGUCGCCCGCAGAUAGUCAGGCCACAGGGGGAUGAUUGAUGGACGUGGAAGUGAAUUGUGUGUUUCUCUGUAUUAUCAGUGAGAUGAACCGGCUACCUGUCCAGGUGGUCGUCCUGCGUACCGGAACACGCUGCCACCUUUUGACAGCUGGAACUAGAAUAAGCAGAUCAAAGAUUACAGCAAAUGUUUUUAGCUGUAUUUUCAGGCGAGAUCUGAUCAAAUUUCAUAAUCAAACCCUUUUCUCAUCUCUCUGACCAAUAUAAAGCUGAUGUGAAAGUCAAAAGAGACAUGAUGCUUUUUCAUGUUUCCUUUAGUGUUUUUUUUUACUUUUGCUAAGGAGGUUAUAUUUUUGGGUUAUA
Hippoglossus stenolepis (Pacific halibut) is the source of this 1227-nucleotide long non-coding RNA. RefSeq lists it as uncharacterized. NCBI's taxonomy places the organism in Eukaryota, Metazoa, Chordata, Actinopteri, Pleuronectiformes, Pleuronectidae. The transcript has 3 exons. The record is from RefSeq and is a predicted model, not a curated record.